RNAcentral lists this long non-coding RNA (377 nucleotides) under Bos taurus (domestic cattle). RNAcentral's name for it is "long non-coding RNA NONBTAT016848". The record is from RNAcentral. Lineage: Eukaryota; Metazoa; Chordata; Mammalia; Artiodactyla; Bovidae.
GUAGGCGUCUGGUAGAACAGUAGUCCUGUGUCUCAGCCUAUGCCACUAGGUUCUCAAGAAUUGCAGAAGGUAGGACGAACAACUGUUUCAUGCCAGUAAGCAGUCAACAGAUAAACACCACCAUCUGGUGUGGUGAAGGUCCCCAGCUCACCCUCUCCCGUCCUGCCCACCCUGGAGAUGACUUUCAGUCCAGAACAAAAGAACAGGGCUGACUUAGAAUAGAGGUGGGAGAGACUUUAAUAAAAAUAGUUUCUCACAGAGUGCUUUCCCCCCACACUAAGGCAGUGUUGCUGGAAACAGAGUGUUUUUCAAAUGCUUAUAUCUGAAAACAGGUAAACCCAUGCAUCAUGGGGGUCCAGAAAGAAACCAGUACGACU